RNAcentral lists this transfer RNA (72 nucleotides) under Bacillota bacterium. Its description in RNAcentral is "tRNA-Gly". It matches the Rfam family "tRNA". Rfam says of the family: Transfer RNA (tRNA) molecules are approximately 80 nucleotides in length. The record is from RNAcentral. Lineage: Bacteria; Bacillati; Bacillota. RNAcentral also lists the same sequence under 1 other name.
GCGGGUGUAGCUCAGCGGUAGAGCGCUACCUUGCCAAGGUAGAUGUCGUGGGUUCAACUCCCACCACCCGCU